GACGAACGCUGGCGGCGCGCCUAACACAUGCAAGUCGAACGAGCGAGAGAGAGCUUGCUUUCUCGAGCGAGUGGCGAACGGGUGAGUAACGCGUGAGGAACCUGCCUCAAAGAGGGGGACAACAGUUGGAAACGACUGCUAAUACCGCAUAAGCCCACGGCUCGGCAUCGAGCAGAGGGAAAAGGAGCAAUCCGCUUUGAGAUGGCCUCGCGUCCGAUUAGCUAGUUGGUGAGGUAACGGCCCACCAAGGCGACGAUCGGUAGCCGGACUGAGAGGUUGAACGGCCACAUUGGGACUGAGACACGGCCCAGACUCCUACGGGAGGCAGCAGUGGGGAAUAUUGCACAAUGGGGGAAACCCUGAUGCAGCGACGCCGCGUGGAGGAAGAAGGUCUUCGGAUUGUAAACUCCUGUUGUUGGGGAAGAUAAUGACGGUACCCAACAAGGAAGUGACGGCUAACUACGUGCCAGCAGCCGCGGUAAAACGUAGGUCACAAGCGUUGUCCGGAAUUACUGGGUGUAAAGGGAGCGCAGGCGGGAAGACAAGUUGGAAGUGAAAUCUAUGGGCUCAACCCAUAAACUGCUUUCAAAACUGUUUUUCUUGAGUAGUGCAGAGGUAGGCGGAAUUCCCGGUGUAGCGGUGGAAUGCGUAGAUAUCGGGAGGAACACCAGUGGCGAAGGCGGCCUACUGGGCACCAACUGACGCUGA
Molecule: ribosomal RNA, 708 nt
Filed under: uncultured Lachnospiraceae bacterium
Lineage: Bacteria; Bacillati; Bacillota; Clostridia; Lachnospirales; Lachnospiraceae
Description: bacterial SSU rRNA
Rfam family: Bacterial small subunit ribosomal RNA
Source: RNAcentral